AUGUUGAUGGGUGAUGCAAACUCUAGGUAAAGACAUAGGCUGUAGGUCAGAUAUUACUGCAAGUAUUCUUAGGCUGCACAUCUGUAGCACUACCAGCAUUAUAUGAAUGAGGGCGGCUGAGCGCUUACUUGAGUGAUACUCCAAGAUGUCCUGGCUGGACAGUGUCCCACAGGGUUUUGCAUGAGGUUCUUUUGGAAGACCAAUACAUUUAUUUUCUUGUGGUCUAUAAAAGGAACCUCCACCUUAGGGUACCCUUAGGCUAAAUCAUUCAGAACAGACACUUGGUCACAUGCUGAAAUACCUACUUGAAAGCUUCAUCUUAAUCUUGAAGCCAUACAGCUCUUUUGUCUCCCGAAAUGGCCUCAAAAUGACUGCGUUCUGUAGAAGUGUGUGUUAGUAACCAGCGCGGUGGAAGGUCAGACUGAUCAGCAAUGAGUUUCUUUCUUUCAAAAGCAACUGUAGUUCAGAGUCCUGUGGUAUGACCUUGCUAGGGCUGUAAGUGUGUGUUUAAUUCACAAAUCCUCUCUUGUUAAAAGAAAAGAAGAAAAAAAUCUGUUAUCAGUGUAGCAGUGAGCAGAGCAAGCAUGUUAAUGACUGGAGCUGAGGGAUGAGCAUGGAAGACCCAGCUUACUUGUCCUGCUUGUCUGUUACCAUAGGACUACAGAAAGCCAGUAUCACAAUGGGAUAUCUGCUGUUUUAAAGGCCUCAUGCGUUACAACCAAAACAUCAGACUCCAUCUUUUCCCCUGAGGAGAAUGGGAGAAGAGGAUGCCAAGUUCCAGAGAACAAUAAACACUUCGGGCCAAAUCCUCCCUUCGUCUAUGCUGGUGUAAAUCUAACGUCUCUUCAUCCAGCUGACAGCAGAAACACAACAGAACAACAUUAUUCUCUAGCGGUCAACAUUAAUUGCAAACUGAUGGCCACUUCUGAACAUGGGAGUCUUCACUGGGC
Harpia harpyja (harpy eagle) is the source of this 950-nucleotide long non-coding RNA. RefSeq lists it as uncharacterized. The transcript has 4 exons. The record is from RefSeq and is a predicted model, not a curated record. NCBI's taxonomy places the organism in Eukaryota, Metazoa, Chordata, Aves, Accipitriformes, Accipitridae.